Molecule: long non-coding RNA, 931 nt
Organism: Eriocheir sinensis (Chinese mitten crab)
Lineage: Eukaryota; Metazoa; Arthropoda; Malacostraca; Decapoda; Varunidae
Exons: 3
Source: RefSeq, a predicted model, not a curated record
AAUUUCAGUGUGGCCGUAAAUUAUGACUUAUCGGAACCAUCGCGCGGGUAGCUGCGUCACCCCUCCCCGACGCGCCUAAUAUAUCGCGUGGCUCCUCCGUGUGAUUUACGCCGCGCGGGACCUCGAUUUAGCGAGACACACGCGCAGAAUUUACCCCCAUGAGGAGAUUUUAUCACUUUUGGCCCCGCGGUGUUGCUCUCGGGCUCGGAAAUGCGGGUUUUGGUCAAAGAUUCGUUUUCGUGGUGAUUCGAAGCUUGGUACGACUCGGGUUUCACUGCAGGAGGAAGUUUCAGACUUUUUAAUGUCAUGUCUUCGGUUUGUACUUUCAUGGCGGUCUUCUGAAGUGACACCCCGUGGUUUUUCGUUCCCCAGGUGUGAUGUCUUGGUUCCAGUCGCCGCGGAGACGUUAAAUAACUCAAGAUGGUUCGGAAGCUUCGUUCGUCUCGCUUCGGUGUUUCGCGCGGAGCCCCUUGUCAUUUAUUCUCCGCCCGCCAUCUUCACGAGCGGGCCGGGCGGGAGGGCAGACCUGUGUAUGCGUCGCUCCUCCAUUUUUGCGAUAUUCCUGUGAUUUAUUAGUGUUUUCUGUGUCUUCUGCGCGUGAGAGGAAUCGUCACACCUCACUCUGAUUGCCGCAUCUCACCUGGGGAAGUCACGGGCGCCGCUUCAGGCACCUCCAGCAGCGUCCUCCUUGCCCUUCGCCAACCUCCCUAAACUGCCUUCGCCUUCAAGUCUCUCCAUGCAUGCCGUAAUGUGGCAGGAAUGGACCUUUGGAUGAGUGGCAGAUCCAUGUUUGGCAGCAUGGCACUCGAGAAGUCCAAGUCUUCCACUCUUGGGCAGGGAAAUUCUCCUGGCUGACUCACAUUGUCCAUGAACCCGUUGACUUUGGGGGCAGCUCCGUGACUCCCCUUUGUGUGGCCGUUGGUGAGUGGUG